Molecule: ribosomal RNA, 586 nt
Filed under: uncultured Gammaproteobacteria bacterium
Lineage: Bacteria; Pseudomonadati; Pseudomonadota; Gammaproteobacteria
Description: bacterial SSU rRNA
Rfam family: Bacterial small subunit ribosomal RNA
Source: RNAcentral
CCUACGGGAGGCAGCAGUGGGGAAUAUUGGACAAUGGGCGCAAGCCUGAUCCAGCAACGCCGCGUGGAGGACGAAGGCCUUCGGGUCGUAAACUCCUGUCAGUUGGGACGAAAAGCCGUCGGUAAAUAGCCGGCGGUCCUGACGGUACCAGCAGAGGAAGCACCGGCUAACUCCGUGCCAGCAGCCGCGGUAAUACGGAGGGUGCGAGCGUUAAUCGGAAUUACUGGGCGUAAAGCGCGCGUAGGCGGCUUGGUCAGUCGGAUGUGAAAGCCCCGGGCUUAACCUGGGAAUUGCAUUCGAUACUGCCAGACUAGAGUAUGGGAGAGGGAAGUGGAAUUUCCGGUGUAGCGGUGAAAUGCGUAGAUAUCGGAAGGAACACCAGUGGCGAAGGCGACUUCCUGGCCCAAUACUGACGCUGAGGUGCGAAAGCGUGGGGAGCGAACAGGAUUAGAUACCCUGGUAGUCCACGCCGUAAACGAUGAGAACUAGAUGUCGGGAGGAUUUGCCUCUCGGUGUCGCAGCUAACGCGUUAAGUUCUCCGCCUGGGGAGUACGCCGGCAACGGUAAAACUCAAAGGAAUUGACGG